UGUUAAUCAGUUAAGUCAUCAAAAAUGUAAGAUUGCCUGUGAUUGGCACAAUCACUGAAAGCGUAAGUCGACCUAAGGUUAACUUCUCAGUUGAACAAGCCUCCUAUCGGCCUUAAAGAUCGAGGAUGGCCUCUAAUUGGUUAGUCUACUGGGUAAGCCUUUGAUUAAUAUUGUGAUCGAGCAAAAUAGCCUCUAUUAGCCAGACGAAAAAAUAAUCAUCAGAAAAUGCACAUACAAAAUACAUGGAUAGAAGCAGAAUAUUUUUUAUUAAAAUAUUUACAAAAAGUGAUGCUUCGGACAUCACUUCAAAAAAAAAAAGAGAGAAAGGAGAAGAGAAAGAAAAGAUAAAGGGAGCUCAAUCCUCAUCUGAGGAAAAAGUCCCCACCUUCUCAUCAUUAUUUUCGGAGAGGAGGUAGUGGAGAUCCAGUUGCGACAUCAUCUGCCACAGGUAGGUCAUACAGUCCUCAAAUUCGAGAAUAAAGGUGGUGGCGGCGAUGUUGGUGGCAUCCUUCUCAAACACCAUGGAGGCCUUGUAGUCCCUGAUGCAGUACUCUCGGAUCGCGUGGGGAAUCUGCUCAGCUUGGGGGGCACCCUUACUCUCGGAGGAUGAUAGAGAUUGCGAGGCAAACGGCACCCUACGAGAGGAGGACUGCCUGGGCCACCUUGCCCUUCUCUAAGUCUCCCUCUCAGCGGCCCUCCUCUCCUUGACCUGGUCCUUGAUAGCUCUCUUGGACAUCAUUAUGGUGACAAGAGAAAAGGAUAGUUCUCACAGAAGCUACGGAAAAGAAGGUGGAAGGUGAAGUUUUACCAACCAUCAACCUCUAUUUGUAGGCACCAGCGCCCACACCAACUAUCAAUCAAAUGCAGCCACCCUUUGAGCCAUAAAUGGUGCAUCUUCUUAACUCCGAAAGUUAAUUUGAGCAGCACUUCGUGAACUAGAAUACCGCCACGUAGAAUACUCUCACAAGCCCGACAUCUUUCCCCAAAUAUUACUUCAUUGGAAGAGGUGGUAGCUGUCAUUCCCCACAGCUGUCGUGCACCCUGGUCCAUUCUAACUUGAAUACAUUGGAAAUCAUGAAACGUUAGAGGACCAUCCAUAAUUAAUGCAUGAGAGACCUGAUGGAAAAGGUACUAAGGAGUCCUUGUCUGAAAUGUGAGGUCUCUUGUGCAAAGGUCGGUGACGACAUCAAACGCCACCCCAUGACAAAAGAAAAGACAACAC
This 1222-nucleotide long non-coding RNA is filed under the name Elaeis guineensis (African oil palm). Its description in RNAcentral is "long non-coding RNA (EGUI_LNC027568)". The record is from RNAcentral. Lineage: Eukaryota; Viridiplantae; Streptophyta; Magnoliopsida; Arecales; Arecaceae.